RNAcentral lists this ribosomal RNA (253 nucleotides) under uncultured bacterium. RNAcentral describes it as "partial 16S ribosomal RNA". It matches the Rfam family "Bacterial small subunit ribosomal RNA", at positions 524 to 776 of the family's 1533-position model. The record is from RNAcentral.
UACAGAGGGGGCAAGCGUUGUUCGGAAUUACUGGGCGUAAAGGGCGCGUAGGCGGCCUUCUAAGUCGAACGUGAAAUCCCCGGGCUCAACCCGGGAACUGCGUCCGAUACUGGAAGGCUUGAAUCCGGGAGAGGGAUGUGGAAUUCCAGGUGUAGCGGUGAAAUGCGUAGAUAUCUGGAGGAACACCGGUGGCGAAGGCGGCGACCUGGGCCUGAACUGACGCUGAGGAGCGAAAGCUAGGGGAGCAAACGGG